This is a long non-coding RNA of Myotis brandtii (Brandt's bat), 284 nucleotides long. RefSeq lists it as uncharacterized. The transcript has 3 exons. Lineage: Eukaryota; Metazoa; Chordata; Mammalia; Chiroptera; Vespertilionidae. The record is from RefSeq and is a predicted model, not a curated record.
AGAGAGAAUCAUUGAUUGGCUGCCUCCUGAACGCCCCCCACUGGGGAUCAAGCUGUCUUAAAUUCUUGUCUGCUUUCGAUCAUUAUUGUGUUUUUUUUUAGUCUAUUUAUAUUUCCUGAUUUUGAUUCCCACUGUCCUGCUUCUUCCCAGUAAUUGCUAAGUGUCUAAAUUUUUUGUUCUUCUUGUAAAGAGCAGCUUUAUUUGGAAGACAGUUAAAUUGCCUGCAGAUCAGGUUUCAAGACUUGAAUUUAAGCUCUGAUGAGAGAAAGGGAGAGGGAUAGAGA